AGCGAACGCUGGCGGCAUGCUUAACACAUGCAAGUCGCACGGGCACUUCGGUGUCAGUGGCGGACGGGUGAGUAACGCGUAGGUAUCUAUCCUUGGGUGGGGGACAACCGUGGGAAACUACGGCUAAUACCGCAUGAUGACUGAGGUCCAAAGCUUGGCAACGAGCGCCUGGGGCGGAGCCUGCGUACGAUUAGCUAGUUGGUGGGGUAAAGGCUUACCAAGGCGACGAUCGUUAGCUGGUCUGAGAGGAUGAUCAGCCACAUUGGGACUGAGACAC
This 277-nucleotide ribosomal RNA is filed under the name uncultured bacterium. RNAcentral describes it as "partial 16S ribosomal RNA". It matches the Rfam family "Bacterial small subunit ribosomal RNA", at positions 29 to 327 of the family's 1533-position model. The record is from RNAcentral.